RNAcentral lists this ribosomal RNA (465 nucleotides) under uncultured bacterium. RNAcentral's name for it is "partial 16S ribosomal RNA". It matches the Rfam family "Bacterial small subunit ribosomal RNA", at positions 28 to 507 of the family's 1533-position model. The record is from RNAcentral.
GACGAACGCUGGCGGCGUGCUUAACACAUGCAAGUCGUACGGUAAGGCCCUUUCGGGGGUCCCCGAGUGGCGAACGGGUGCGUAACACGUGAGUAACCUGCCCACAACUUUGGGAUAACGCUAGGAAACUGGUGCUAAUACUGGAUAUGUGCUCCUGCUGCAUGGUGGGGGUUGGAAAGCUCCGGCGGUUGUGGAUGGACUCGCGGCCUAUCAGCUUGUUGGUGGGGUAGUGGGCUACCAAGGCGGCGACGGGUAGCCGGCCUGAGAGGGUGACCGGCCACAUUGGGACUGAGAGACGGCCCAGACGCCGACGGGAGGCAGCAGUGGGGAAGAUUGAACAAGGGGCGCCAGGCGGAUGCAGCAACGCCUCGUGCGGGAUGACGGCCUUCGGGUGGUAAACCGCUUUCAGCAGGGACGAAGCUUGUUGUGACGGUACCUGCAGAAGAAGCACCGGCUAACUACGUG